This 1129-nucleotide ribosomal RNA is filed under the name Campylobacter jejuni. RNAcentral's name for it is "partial 23S ribosomal RNA". It matches the Rfam family "Bacterial large subunit ribosomal RNA", at positions 606 to 1737 of the family's 2925-position model. Lineage: Bacteria; Pseudomonadati; Campylobacterota; Epsilonproteobacteria; Campylobacterales; Campylobacteraceae. The record is from RNAcentral.
UUUUGCAUAAUGAGCCUGCGAGUUGUGGUGUCUGGCAAGGUUAAGCAAACGCGAAGCCGUAGCGAAAGCGAGUCUGAAUAGGGCGCUUAGUCAGAUGCUGCAGACCCGAAACGAAGUGAUCUAUCCAUGAGCAAGUUGAAGCUAGUGUAAGAACUAGUGGAGGACUGAACCCAUAGGCGUUGAAAAGCCCCGGGAUGACUUGUGGAUAGGGGUGAAAGGCCAAUCAAACUUCGUGAUAGCUGGUUCUCUCCGAAAUAUAUUUAGGUAUAGCGUUGUGUCGUAAUAUAAGGGGGUAGAGCACUGAAUGGGCUAGGGCAUACACCAAUGUACCAAACCCUAUCAAACUCCGAAUACCUUAUAUGUAAUCACAGCAGUCAGGCGGCGAGUGAUAAAAUCCGUCGUCAAGAGGGAAACAACCCAGACUACCAGCUAAGGUCCCUAAAUCUUACUUAAGUGGAAAACGAUGUGAAGUUACUUAAACAACCAGGAGGUUGGCUUAGAAGCAGCCAUCCUUUAAAGAAAGCGUAAUAGCUCACUGGUCUAGUGAUUUUGCGCGGAAAAUAUAACGGGGCUAAAGUAAGUACCGAAGCUGUAGACUUAGUUUACUAAGUGGUAGGAGAGCGUUCUAUUUGCGUCGAAGGUAUACCGGUAAGGAGUGCUGGAGCGAAUAGAAGUGAGCAUGCAGGCAUGAGUAGCGAUAAUUAAUGUGAGAAUCAUUAACGCCGUAAACCCAAGGUUUCCUACGCGAUGCUCGUCAUCGUAGGGUUAGUCGGGUCCUAAGUCGAGUCCGAAAGGGGUAGACGAUGGCAAAUUGGUUAAUAUUCCAAUACCAACAUUAGUGUGCGAUGGAAGGACGCUUAGGGCUAAGGGGGCUAGCGGAUGGAAGUGCUAGUCUAAGGUCGUAGGAGGUUGUACAGGCAAAUCCGUAUAACAAUACUCCGAGAACUGAAAGGCUUUUUGAAGUCUUCGGAUGGAUAGAAGAACCCCUGAUGCCGUCGAGCCAAGAAAAGUUUCUAAGUUUAGCUAAUGUUGCCCGUACCGUAAACCGACACAGGUGGGUGGGAUGAGUAUUCUAAGGCGCGUGGAAGAACUCUCUUUAAGGAACUCUGCAAAAUAGCACCGUAUCUUC